This 482-nucleotide ribosomal RNA is filed under the name uncultured bacterium. Its description in RNAcentral is "partial 16S ribosomal RNA". It matches the Rfam family "Bacterial small subunit ribosomal RNA", at positions 29 to 507 of the family's 1533-position model. The record is from RNAcentral.
AUUGAACGCUGGCGGCAUGCCUUACACAUGCGAGUCGAACGGUAACAGGUCUUCGGGUGCUGACGAGUGGCGCACGGGUGGGUAAUACAUCGGAACGUUCCCGAUCGUGGGGGGUAACGAAGCGAAAGCUUUGCUAAUACCGCCUACGAUCUACGGAUGAAAGCGGGGGAUGUUCGGACCUCGCGCGGCCGGAGCGGCCGGUGGCUGAUUCGGUAGUUGGUGGGGUAGAAGCUUACCAAGCCGACGGUCUGUAGAUGGUCUGAGAGGAUGAUCGGCCACACUGGGAGUGAGACACGGCCCAGACUCCUACGGGAGGCAGCAGUGGGGAAUGUUGGACAAUGGGCGCAAGCCUGAUCCAGCCAUGCCGCGUGCAGGAUGAAGGCCUUCGGGUGGGAAAAUGCUUUUGUACGGAACGAAAAGGUGCCUUCUAAUAAAGGGCGCUCAUGACGGUACCGGAAGAAUAAGCACCGGCUAACUACGUG